UCAGUGAUCAUCGAAUCUUUGAACGCACAUUGCGCCCGYYGUAUUCUGGCGGGCAUGCCUGUCCGAGCG
This 69-nucleotide ribosomal RNA is filed under the name Phyllachora graminis. RNAcentral describes it as "partial 5.8S ribosomal RNA". The record is from RNAcentral. Lineage: Eukaryota; Fungi; Ascomycota; Sordariomycetes; Phyllachorales; Phyllachoraceae.